AACGCGAAGAACCUUACCUGGGUUUGAAAUGUAAGAGACAGGUGCAGAAAUGCACUCUCCCUUCGGGGCUCUUAUGUAGGUGCUGCAUGGCUGUCGUCAGCUCGUGUCGUGAGAUGUUGGGUUAAGUCCCGCAACGAGCGCAACCCUUGCCAGUAGUUGCCAUCGGGUAAUGCCGGGAACUCUGCUGGGACUGCCGGUGUUAAACCGGAGGAAGGUGGGGAUGACGUCAAGUCCUCAUGGCCCUUAUGUCCAGGGCUACACACGUGCUACAAUGGUCGGUACAAAGGGCUGCCAAGCCGCGAGGUGGAGCUAAUCCCAAAAAACCGAUCUCAGUUCGGAUUGCAGUCUGCAACUCGACUGCAUGAAGUCGGAAUCGCUAGUAAUCGUGGAUCAGCAUGCCACGGUGAAUACGUUCCCGGGCCUUGUACACACCGCGAGC
This 439-nucleotide ribosomal RNA is filed under the name uncultured bacterium. RNAcentral describes it as "bacterial SSU rRNA". It matches the Rfam family "Bacterial small subunit ribosomal RNA", at positions 958 to 1397 of the family's 1533-position model. The record is from RNAcentral.